GCUUGCUUCUUUGCUGACGAGUGGCGGACGGGUGAGUAAUGUCUGGGAAACUGCCUGAUGGAGGGGGAUAACUACUGGAAACGGUAGCUAAUACCGCAUAACGUCGCAAGACCAAAGAGGGGGACCUUCGGGCCUCUUGCCAUCGGAUGUGCCCAGAUGGGAUUAGCUGUGGUGGGGUAACGGCUCACCUAGGCGACGAUCCCUAGCUGGUCUGAGAGGAUGACCAGCCACACUGGAACUGAGACACGGUCCAGACUCCUACGGGAGGCAGCAGUGGGGAAUAUUGCACAAUGGGCGCAAGCCUGAUGCAGCCAUGCCGCGUGUAUGAAGAAGGCCUUCGGGUUGUAAAGUACUUUCAGCGGGGAGGAAGGGAGUAAAGUUAAUACCUUUGCUCAUUGACGUUACCCGCAGAAGAAGCACCGGCUAACUCCGUGCCAGCAGCCGCGGUAAUACGGAGGGUGCAAGCGUUAAUCGGAAUUACUGGGCGUAAAGCGCACGCAGGCGGUUUGUUAAGUCAGAUGUGAAAUCCCCGGGCUCAACCUGGGAACUGCAUCUGAUACUGGCAAGCUUGAGUCUCGUAGAGGGGGGUAGAAUUCCAGGUGUACGCGGUGAAAUGCGUAGAGAUCUGGAGGAAUACCCGGUGGCGAAGGCGGCCCCCUGACGAAGA
Molecule: ribosomal RNA, 667 nt
Filed under: Escherichia sp.
Lineage: Bacteria; Pseudomonadati; Pseudomonadota; Gammaproteobacteria; Enterobacterales; Enterobacteriaceae
Description: bacterial SSU rRNA
Rfam family: Bacterial small subunit ribosomal RNA
Source: RNAcentral